UAAAAUACUAGUUGAGAUCCGCUUAUCGAUAAUAACGGAAGACCUGUUUCUAUUACUAAAAUACCCGUUUAAUUAGAUAUUAGACAGAACUACUGUAAGUAGAGCUCAAACUUUUCUUGUAUGUCAGUUCCGGCAUGAGGCAGUUAUAAGUAGAGACAUAAUGUAACAAUAAUGAUAGUAUCUGUUACUCGUACAUUUUACAUAUCGCUUGCUAUACAUGAGUAAAUUUCAAAAAAAACUCAUCUCUAACCUACCGUUUGCUGCCUUUUUUAAGGAUUUGAGAAAUGCAGUAAGAGUUUUCUUUGCCGAUUCAUAAUAU
Molecule: long non-coding RNA, 319 nt
Filed under: Schizosaccharomyces pombe (fission yeast)
Lineage: Eukaryota; Fungi; Ascomycota; Schizosaccharomycetes; Schizosaccharomycetales; Schizosaccharomycetaceae
Source: RNAcentral